CCAUGUGGCAGACACACGAAUAGGAUAAAGGUAACACUACAUGUAUUAAAGGCGAUCAGACAACUAGAGGGAAUUCUCGUUUGAUCGCACAGUCAAAAAUACCUUUAGCCGAAGAGUAUGAUCGGAUGAUCCAAGAUUGCUUCUGCCCAAUUGAAUCAAAUGACUUUGGUCUUUUUUCGUAGUCUAGACUAACUCCUACUCGAAUUUUGAAUAAAUAAUUGAGAUUUCCUUCUACAUCGUGCGAUCUAGAUU
Molecule: long non-coding RNA, 252 nt
Filed under: Carica papaya (papaya)
Lineage: Eukaryota; Viridiplantae; Streptophyta; Magnoliopsida; Brassicales; Caricaceae
Description: long non-coding RNA (CPAP_LNC002683)
Source: RNAcentral